CUUCAUUGGGUAACAAAGUUCUUCCCAAGCAUUCUCUUGCAUUCCACCCGGGGAACAAGACAGCACCGGGUUUCACACUGGCAAGGCAGGAGGCUGUGUGCUGCCAGAACGACCAGCAGGGGGCGCAAAGGCCACGCCAGGCACCUGCUGGCCUCAGAGAAAACAGAAAGGGAACCAGGAAGCCCACUCCUGCUGUCCUUUCUCUGCAAGGAAAUGUGCCAGGGCACUGCAGCCCAGACAGUCGGCAGUAGAGGACCCAUGAAGGUCAUUAUCACUGCUUUUCCCUCCUCUUAUUGAAGCUCUUCCCUCUGCAGCCCUGGAAGCCUGAUCCUACCUACAGAUGUCAGCGAAAUCUCCCUCCCUCAGGGUCCCUGUCUAGUUUGUUUUUGACCCGGCCACAAAUACUAGGACAGAAAAAUAAUGGACGGCACAAAGUAUCUUUGUGCAAAGAAAGCAGCAAAGAGAAUUAAGAGAAUUGCAUCAUAUAAAGAGUGAAUUAAACCAUCUAAAGGAGCAAAAAUUCAUCAUCACAUGGACAAGAAAUUAAGACGUAACAUCCAUCUCACUAUUUGCAAAGUGGCUUAUUCCUACAGACAAUGCAGAUAUGUAAAAAGCAGCUGGAAACCUAGGAGCAGAAGCCCAGCAUAAAGAUCUCUGAAAGCCUGGAUGCGUGGAUUCCUCUCUUACUUCCCAAAACGGUGGGGUGGAAAUGUGAAUAUCAGCAUGAUGCACAGAUCUCUGCAGAUGUCCAGCGAACUGAAUUUCUAGACGCUAUAAUCUAUGUUCUUUCCCAACCCCCACUUCAGUUUACAUAUCGCAGGCCAUAGAUCCUGUUUGUUGAAAAGCGAUCAGCUAGAAAACAAGAGUGGUUAUAACCUGUGCUGCCCAGUGAUCAGGAAAAGAGAGCGGAUGAAACUUCCAUGACUUUCUGUUAGUCUGAUUAAUAUCCAUGCCAAAUGUAAGAUUAGUUAAAAGGCCUUAUUGCUUCCCACCAAAAUGUUCCUUCACUAGCUAUAUACUACACUGAAAUGUAAAGUUAUGGGUAUGUUUAACAGUUUAAUUUGUCAGUGGGCAUCCAACUCUUCUAUUUGUGUUUUUACUUUGAGCUUAAUUGGAGCAGACAAAUAGAGGUGACCUCUAACUGUUUUCUUCCUGAAGCCAUUUUCAGGGCAGAAGUGCUUUACCCACUUCAUUGAGAAACCACCUUUGCAUGCAGUACCCUGAGCUGUCUUCAGCACACCAAGCAUCCACAACAUGGGAAAUACCGUGCUUUAAAUGUUGCUUUAAUCACAGUGCUCAUGAGUAAGGGCAUGUCCUGUCUCUUAUCCAUGAAAACACUCCCACAAAAUGAAGUCACACCCAGUAUCUGUUAACGGAGAUACUGAGUGGGUGAAGAAGACUCAUUCCCUAAUGCAAUUCAGGUCACACAGGGUAAAAAAGAAAAAAAAAUCCUUUUCUGUUGAGGAUACAGAUGGAGAGAAAAUGGAAAAUGCCUUUCAGGAAGCACAAGCCUAGUUUUCUAAUUGUGUUUCAGUGAACACGCAGGUGAACUUACCUGUGUGGCUUGGUAUUGUGGUGGGUUUUCAGCUUCUUCUCCACCAAAUCCUUUGAAAAGCAGCAGUGGCAGAAACAAAUAACCCAAUUAAAAACAAUAAUAGCAACAAUAAAAAAAGAAAAGAUGAAGAAAGCAGUGGUUUUCUUUGGCUAGCUGAGGAACUUUCUACUAGGCGUUAGCAAUCUCUUUGUAAACUUUUUUCUUUACAGCAAAUGCUUCAUUCUCUAGACACAUGUCAAGAAUUUUCAAGCAUCGCCAGACUCAAUUCUUCACCCCCAUGUUAACAAUUAAAGAAUCAGCCGAAUGCCUGUGUUUAAGAAUCAAGCCCCUGAAACCUGUGAUUUGUACGUUACUCACACCCUCUAGUCCUAUUAGCAAGAGAUGCUGGGAGAACUUCUUGGUCAUCAAUUUGAUGAGUUCCAAGGGGAAUGUGGGUUUUGGUUGUGAUGUUCAUACACAUAGAAAUCUGGCUGAACACACGUACCUAAGAGUCUUCCAUCUUUCCUUGCUUGCUCUACAGAAAAUAAAGACAGAGGGUGUGUAAAAUAUCAUGUAUAUAUUAUACAAAGACCUCUUGAAAAGGUAAUAAAUUCUGGUGAUUCGG
This 2159-nucleotide long non-coding RNA is filed under the name Homo sapiens (human). Its description in RNAcentral is "HSALNT0371454". The record is from RNAcentral. Lineage: Eukaryota; Metazoa; Chordata; Mammalia; Primates; Hominidae.